UUUUAGAAUGAUCCUUGCACCACAACUGGAACAGAAAACCUUGGUGGGACAUGUUUGACUUCAUCUGACUGCACUGCCCAAAGUGGAUCAGCCUCCGGGAGUUGUGCCGCGGGAUUUGGUGUGUGUUGUCUUUUCACUUUGAGUGGUGCGUGUGGAUCUUCACAGACUGUCGAUCAGAACUGUACAUACAUUCGG
Molecule: long non-coding RNA, 195 nt
Organism: Tigriopus californicus
Lineage: Eukaryota; Metazoa; Arthropoda; Copepoda; Harpacticoida; Harpacticidae
Exons: 3
Source: RefSeq, a predicted model, not a curated record